Molecule: ribosomal RNA, 372 nt
Filed under: uncultured organism
Description: bacterial SSU rRNA
Rfam family: Bacterial small subunit ribosomal RNA
Source: RNAcentral
CAGAGGGUGCAAGCGUUGUUCGGAAUUACUGGGCGUAAAGGGCGCGUAGGCGGUUUAGCAAGUCAGAUGUGAAAGCCCGAAGCUUAACUUCGGAAGUGCAUUUGAAACUGCUAGACUUGAGUAAAGCAGGGGUUGGCGGAAUACCCAGUGUAGAGGUGAAAUUCGUAGAUAUUGGGUAGAACACCGGUGGCGAAGGCGGCCAACUGGACUUUAACUGACGCUGAGGCGCGAAGGCGUGGGGAGCAAACAGGAUUAGAUACCCUGGUAGUCCACGCUGUAAACGAUGGAUACUCGCUGUGACUGGUAUUGACCCCGGUCGUAGCCAAGGUAACCCGAUAAGUAUCCCGCCUGGGAAGUACGGUCGCAAGAUUA